Molecule: ribosomal RNA, 622 nt
Filed under: Akkermansia muciniphila
Lineage: Bacteria; Pseudomonadati; Verrucomicrobiota; Verrucomicrobiia; Verrucomicrobiales; Akkermansiaceae
Description: bacterial SSU rRNA
Rfam family: Bacterial small subunit ribosomal RNA
Source: RNAcentral
UGGCGGCGUGGUUAAGACAUGCAAGUCGAACGAGAGAAUUGCUAGCUUGCUAAUAAUUCUCUAGUGGCGCACGGGUGAGUAACACGUGAGUAACCUGCCCCCGAGAGCGGGAUAGCCCUGGGAAACUGGGAUUAAUACCGCAUAGUAUCGAAAGAUUAAAGCAGCAAUGCGCUUGGGGAUGGGCUCGCGGCCUAUUAGUUAGUUGGUGAGGUAACGGCUCACCAAGGCGAUGACGGGUAGCCGGUCUGAGAGGAUGUCCGGCCACACUGGAACUGAGACACGGUCCAGACACCUACGGGUGGCAGCAGUCGAGAAUCAUUCACAAUGGGGGAAACCCUGAUGGUGCGACGCCGCGUGGAGGAAUGAAGGUCUUCGGAUUGUAAACCCCUGUCAUGUGGGAGCAAAUUAAAAAGAUAGUACCACAAGAGGAAGAGACGGCUAACUCUGUGCCAGCAGCCGCGGUAAUACAGAGGUCUCAAGCGUUGUUCGGAAUCACUGGGCGUAAAGCGUGCGUAGGCUGUUUCGUAAGUCGUGUGUGAAAGGCGCGGGCUCAACCCGCGGACGGCACAUGAUACUGCGAGACUAGAGUAAUGGAGGGGGAACCGGAAUUCACGGUGUAGCA